Molecule: ribosomal RNA, 253 nt
Filed under: uncultured bacterium
Lineage: Bacteria
Description: partial 16S ribosomal RNA
Rfam family: Bacterial small subunit ribosomal RNA
Source: RNAcentral
UACGGAGGGUCCAAGCGUUAUCCGGAAUCAUUGGGUUUAAAGGGUCCGUAGGCGGUUUUGUAAGUCAGUGGUGAAAGCCCAUCGCUCAACGGUGGAACGGCCAUUGAUACUGCAAGACUUGAAUUACUAGGAAGUAACUAGAAUAUGUAGUGUAGCGGUGAAAUGCUUAGAGAUUACAUGGAAUACCAAUUGCGAAGGCAGGUUACUACUAGUGGAUUGACGCUGAUGGACGAAAGCGUGGGGAGCGAACAGG